RNAcentral lists this long non-coding RNA (869 nucleotides) under Brassica rapa (field mustard). Its description in RNAcentral is "long non-coding RNA (BRAP_LNC002907)". Lineage: Eukaryota; Viridiplantae; Streptophyta; Magnoliopsida; Brassicales; Brassicaceae. The record is from RNAcentral.
AGAUAUUAGAUACCUAAUCACGAACUGUUACAAUCCAAAAUAGCACAAACCAGAACCAGACAGCAGAACCAAACAUCAUCAUAACACAGAGAAACAUAAACCCGACCCAGAAACGAAACGGUCUCAAACCUAAUCUAAUUACCAACCACCACCACCGCCUCCUCCGUAACCUCCACCAUCACCACCUCCGUAACCCCCACCCUCACGUCUACCACCUCCACCGUAUCCUCCGCCACCACCUCCUCUCGAGUAGCCACCUCCACCGCCACCACUGUAUCCACCCUCGCGUCUUCCACCUCCGUAACCACCACCACCUCCGUAUCCUCCACCUCCACCGCGGUAUCCACCGCCGCCACCACGGCCACCUCCACCGCCGCCGCUUCCACGGGACUGAGCCUCGUUCACAGUGAUGCUGCGACCAUCGAGAUCCUGUCCGUUCAUCCCUUCGAUGGCAUCCUUCAUGGAUUGCUCAUCCUUGAAAGUGACGAACCCAAACCCCCUUGAUCUUCCAGUCUCACGAUCGUUAAUGAUCUGUUCACCAAAAUCAUAACCAAAUCAGCAAUCAAACCCAACACAUAAGAACAAAAGCAAUCACAAAAAAAAAAAAAAUUCAAAAAUCAAUAUAAAACCGAACGAUCUCCAGGCUCAUAGUAGCGGGAAGAUGAACGUACCGAUUAAGAGGAAAAGCAAGUAACAGUAACAAAGAACAUAGUAACAGUAAUUUCGAAUCAAGUAACAGAGAAACACAGAUCGGAACAGAUCCGUCGAGGAUCAGAUCACCGGGGAGUCUGAUCUCUGCGUGUAACGGACCUUGGAAUCAACAAGUUCGCCGAACUUAGAGAAGGCGGUCUCGAGAGAUCUCUCGUCGG